Molecule: long non-coding RNA, 271 nt
Filed under: Ananas comosus (pineapple)
Lineage: Eukaryota; Viridiplantae; Streptophyta; Magnoliopsida; Poales; Bromeliaceae
Description: long non-coding RNA (ACOM_LNC003530)
Source: RNAcentral
UCUCACAAAAACCAAAAAGAAGAGAGUAAACUACCUAAGCUCAAAAGUAGCUUCCCGCUAACUAGCUACGCGACUCCCUUGCCGUGAUCCCGUGCCUCCGCCGGUGCCGAAGGCUCUGAAAUAAAACCAUAAAAUAGGGGGCAUGAGAACUAUUGAAUAAUAGUUCCCAGUGGGCAAUUACUGGCUUCAGUGAAAUGCACCACUAGGCCCAAACUAAAAAGGGGUCAGUAAGCAGAUGUAAACAAAUACGAUAUGUACGACAAGUAAAUAA